GACGAACGCUGGCGGCGUGCUUAACACAUGCAAGUCGAACGCUGAAGCUUGGUGCUUGCACUGGGUGGAUGAGUGGCGAACGGGUGAGUAAUACGUGAGUAACCUGCCCUUGACUCUGGGAUAAGCCUGGGAAACUGGGUCUAAUACUGGAUAUGACAUGCCACUGCAUGGUGGUGUGUGGAAAGGGUUUUACUGGUUUUGGAUGGGCUCACGGCCUAUCAGCUUGUUGGUGGGGUAAUGGCCUACCAAGGCGACGACGGGUAGCCGGCCUGAGAGGGUGACCGGCCACACUGGGACUGAGACACGGCCCAGACCCCUACGGGAGGCAGCAGUGGGGAAUAUUGCACAAUGGGCGGAAGCCUGAUGCAGCGACGCCGCGUGAGGGAUGACGGCCUUCGGGUUGUAAACCUCUUUCAGCACGGAAGAAGCGAGAGUGACGGUACGUGCAGAAGAAGCGCCGGCUAACUACGUG
This 472-nucleotide ribosomal RNA is filed under the name uncultured bacterium. RNAcentral describes it as "partial 16S ribosomal RNA". It matches the Rfam family "Bacterial small subunit ribosomal RNA", at positions 28 to 507 of the family's 1533-position model. The record is from RNAcentral.